CUUCUCGAUAGUGUGGCUACAGGGGGAUCAGACUGAGGAAGAAAGCAGCGUGUUUACACCUGGAUAUGUGCUGCGUAUACUCGGGUCAGAUCUCAAGGAGCAGAGGUUAUUCUUCAAGAUUUGUGCCAACUGUAUCACUAGUUAUUCCUCAGCUGAUCUUUCAGCAAUGUCUGCUGUUGAAGUAGGGUUCAUUGAGCUCUGCGGAGCACGGACACGGACAAGAACCCAGGGACAUGAUGGAGGAGUCCUGUCACUUCAUUUGGAUUAAUGGACAGUUCGUAUCUCCUGUCCUUUGAAGGUCUUCAGAGCUAGUCCUAUGGAAAUGGUUACCGAUGCUGUCAUGCUGAAGGGUAUACGAUAGGACUUCCUUUUUUCUGUCAUUGGAGAAACAUUUAACUUUUUCGUUUUUGUAGUUUUACAUGAAUGAUUGAGCUAUUGUAGGUUUUGGAUGUUGAAUAUGAGAUGCGUGUUAAAAUAAAAUUAAAAAAGUGGACAUUUUGGGGGCCUUUGUGACACUGUUAUGGAUGGGACAGAGGUGACAGGAAAGAAUGAGGAGCAUAGGGGGGAUGUGAUGAGGAAAUGAC
This 584-nucleotide long non-coding RNA is filed under the name Sinocyclocheilus anshuiensis. RNAcentral's name for it is "lncRNA (ENSSANG00000040461.1)". The record is from RNAcentral. Lineage: Eukaryota; Metazoa; Chordata; Actinopteri; Cypriniformes; Cyprinidae.